AGACCAUGAUGCGGGCAUUUCCUUAGUAGCUCCUUGAGCCUUUCCCAUGUUUCGUACAAGGAUUCCCCGUCUUCUUGAGAGUAAGUGUUCAUCUCGCUCAUGAGUUU
This 107-nucleotide small nucleolar RNA is filed under the name Helianthus annuus (common sunflower). RNAcentral describes it as "Plant small nucleolar RNA R71". It matches the Rfam family "Plant small nucleolar RNA R71". From Rfam's summary of the family: R71 is a member of the C/D box family of snoRNAs containing the C (UGAUGA) and D (CUGA) box motifs. Multiple nearly identical copies of this snoRNA have been identified in Arabidopsis, and it is thought to function as a 2'-O-ribose methylation guide for 18S ribosomal RNA. Lineage: Eukaryota; Viridiplantae; Streptophyta; Magnoliopsida; Asterales; Asteraceae. The record is from RNAcentral.